CUGCAGCCCGUUAAGCUGACCAUGCUCUUUCCCCCAUGAGAGCCCCAUGUGCAAUGCUGCAAACAGCAGACUCCUUGCUAGUGCAGACAGCCUACUGCCUGUAUAGAUUGCCUUAAGGGACCUUGGAGAAGCCC
This is a small nucleolar RNA of 134 nucleotides. Its record names the gene SNORA70. It matches the Rfam family "Small nucleolar RNA SNORA70". From Rfam's summary of the family: snoRNA U70 seems to be exclusive to mammals and is a member of the H/ACA class of snoRNA which contain H (ANANNA) and ACA box motifs. H/ACA box snoRNAs are involved in the conversion of uridines to pseudouridines (5-ribosyluracil) a constituent of structural RNAs (transfer, ribosomal, small nuclear, and small nucleolar). The record is from Ensembl.